GUUGUGGCUUAAUGGUAAAGCACUUGCCUGGAAUGUGUGAGGCCCUGGGUUUGAGCCUCAGCACCACA
RNAcentral lists this transfer RNA (68 nucleotides) under Marmota monax (woodchuck). RNAcentral's name for it is "tRNA.Ser". The stretch from base 3 to 63 matches the Rfam family "tRNA", at positions 6 to 65 of the family's 71-position model. Rfam says of the family: Transfer RNA (tRNA) molecules are approximately 80 nucleotides in length. Their secondary structure includes four short double-helical elements and three loops (D, anti-codon, and T loops). Further hydrogen bonds mediate the characteristic L-shaped molecular structure. tRNAs have two regions of fundamental functional importance: the anti-codon, which is responsible for specific mRNA codon recognition, and the 3' end, to which the tRNAs corresponding amino acid is attached (by aminoacyl-tRNA synthetases). tRNAs cope with the degeneracy of the genetic code in two manners: having more than one tRNA (with a specific anti-codon) for a particular amino acid; and 'wobble' base-pairing, i.e. permitting non-standard base-pairing at the 3rd anti-codon position. The record is from RNAcentral. Lineage: Eukaryota; Metazoa; Chordata; Mammalia; Rodentia; Sciuridae.